CGGCGUGCCUCGCGCGGCGCCCAAACAAAUAUGGCAGCGGCGGCGGCGGUGGGGCGGCGGCCAGGGGCUUGGGGGAGGAUCUGAGCGUGUGUUCAGGCGAGGAAAGUAAGCAAAGACUGUUUUGUCUUCACAAUGUUUGGGGACUUAUUUGAAGAGGAUUUUUCCUUUAUUUCAAACAAUCAUUGUGGAAAAGGGAAGAAAUCAAAGCCCAGAGAUUCUGAGCCUCCAGCUCCCAGAGACUUCACCAACCUAAGCGGUAUCAAAAAUCAAGGUGGGACCUGCUACCUCAAUUCCCUUCUGCAGACGCUGCUUUUCACACCCGAAUUUAGAGAGGCACUGUUCUCGCUAGGACCUGAAGAGCUUGGAACUCUGGAUGAUAUCAAUAAACCAGAUGCAAAGGUUCGAAUAAUUCCACUGCAACUUCAACGGUUAUUUGCUCAGCUUCUGCUCUUAGACCAGCAGGCUGCGUCUACGACAGACCUUACUGAGAGCUUUGGGUGGAACAGCAAUGAGGAAAUGAGGCAGCACGAUGUGCAGGAAUUAAAUCGGAUUCUGUUUAGUGCUUUGGAGACUUCCCUUGUGGGGACUUCGGGUCAUGACCUUAUUAAUCGAUUGUACCAUGGAACUGUUGUCAACCAGAUUGUUUGUAAAGAAUGCAAGAAUAUCAGUGAGAGACAGGAAGAUUUCUUAGACCUAACAGUGGCAGUAAAAGGUGUAGCUGGCUUGGAGGAGGCCCUGUGGAACAUGUAUGUGGAAGAAGAAUGCUUUGAAAAUGAGAACUUGUAUCGAUGCGGAGCCUGUGAUAAACUUGUUGAAGCUUCAAAGUCUGCUAAACUACGUAAGUUGCCUCCCUUUCUCACCAUUUCUCUCCUGAGAUUUAACUUUGACUUUGAGAAGUGUGAACGAUACAAGGAAACUAGUUGCUAUACGUUCCCUAUCCAGAUAAACCUGAGGCCUUUUUGUGAGCAGACUGAAAUGGAUGAUUCAGAGUACAUGUAUGAGCUCUUCUCUGUUAUUAUACAUAAAGGUGGCUGCUAUGGAGGACACUAUCAUGUUUAUAUCAAAGAUGUGGAUGAAUUAGGAAACUGGCAAUUACAAGAAGAUGAGGAUAGGCUAAUUGAACAUAAGGCUUUGAGAGAGAAUGAAAAUGCCAAAGAAACAGAAAAUCCACUGGCGGUGUUGAAAGGGAUUUUAUCAGAGGAAGAAUCUAAACAAAUUCCUGUGGAUCAAUUAGGGCAGAAGCUAUUGGAGAAAAAAAAGGUGUCCUGGAAUAAGAAAUACAGAAAACAAUAUGGAGCAUUACGAAAGUAUUUGCAAAAUCAUCCUCAGAUAUUUCAGUUCAGUCCUGACAAAAAUAAGGUUGGUCUAAAGGAAAAAUACAAGCUUCCAUUUCAGUCAGAUUCUCAAGGACUUGAUCUCCAAAGCCCUUCUCAGAAAAAUGAUAUCCAGUGGAAUUUAGAAAAAAUGUCUACAAGACUAAGGGACAUUUCUGUUGGUUGCCAUUGGUUUGAUCUGAAUGAUUCGAAAGUCCAACCGAUAAAGGAGGAGGAUAUUGAGCAACAAUUUCAGGGUAAAGAGAGUGCCUACAUGCUGUUUUAUCGAAAGUUGCAGUUGAAGAGACCUCCUGAAGCUCGAGGAAAUCCAAGGUACCAAAUUCCUGAACAUCUUCUGAAUGAAAUGAAUGCUGCUAAUACUGAGCUGCAAAAAAUGAGAGCGGAACGUGACUCAGCAAACAAUGGUAUUGAUUUACAUCUCCAUUUGAGCUCGUGUUACAAAUUUGAUAAUGGAGCUUUGCAUCCUUCACUUACUUGGAAAGAGAGUGUUCUGGAUCUGACUAUUGACAGAAGAAAAACUCUAGGAGAUCUUCGACAGUCAAUAUUCCAGAUAUUGGAAUCUUGGGAAGGAGACAUGAUUCUCAGUAAUGCCAAACCUUUACCAGCAGGACUGCAUCUUUACGAGAUUCUUGAUGGAGAUGAGCUGACACUGGACUGCUUUGGGCUGGCUGAUGGAGCAGAUGUUUUUGUGUGGAACGGGAAAGAGGUUGGUGGCACAAAGGUGAUGACAGGCCCUGAUCAUGAACCUGUGAUCAUAAACGUUCUUCGUUUGGCAGAGUAUAAUGAAGGAGGGAAGGGUCAACACUUCACAGAAUCGCAGCACAUCUUUCCAUGCAGCACAAAACUGGAGGAUCUGCACAGGGCCUUAGCACCAUCAGGAGGAAUCAUUUUAAAGAAUGGCUCAGGACCUGAUAGAGAAGGCAAGAACUGGGAAGUUCUUGAAGAACAUAUGAAGGAAACGAUCAGAAGUGUUGGUCUGACAGAUGGAUGUUCGGUACUAAUCUUAGACAGCCAUGACCAGAGCUUUGUGAAUGUUUCAAGUGGCAAUUUGACUGCUUUUACGUACGACAUCAGCUGGCUCCAAGUUAAAAACUUCUGCGGAAUGGAAGAUGAAGAGAAACACGUUAAAAUUACUGCCACUAUUGAAACAGUGAUGUCAGAUAUCAAAAUGAAAGCAAUACAGGAGUUUCAACUAGAUGAAGAGCUAGCAAGUGACAGUUGUCUUAGACCUGUUAGUGGAAAUGGGAAACUUCUCUCUCCAGUGCCUGAGGAUUAUACUGUCAAGGAAGCAGAACUGAAAAUGGGAAGCUUGCUCGGGCUGUGUCGUGGAAAAGCUCUAACUUCCACACAGCUGCUCUUAUAUUUUAUUAUUGGGCAUGACCAACAUAUGGGCCCUGAGAUGGAGAUAGUUGUGGAAGAGACUGCCUCUGUGAAAGAAUGUCUAAAUUUAAUGCUGGAAAAAUCUGGAUUAUCAGGUGACAGCUGGCAUUUGAGAAGGAUUGACUGGUGCUAUGAAGCAGGGGAAGCAUUAAGUCAGGAAAAUGCCACUCUGAAGGAACUUAAUGUUUGUAGAGGAGAUACUUUGGUUAUAACUGAAGGAAAGCUUCCACCAAAGGGCUUUCUGAAAAUUCCCAUCUGGUGGUUCAAGCCUUCAAGCCAUAUGAAACAUAGAGAAAAUGGACAAGACCAAGUGAAUGGGUUGACCUGCAGGAUGGACGAUUUGCAGGUGUCUCCUGCAGGAGGUGACUCACCAGAAUGCAUCCAAACAGACACGGAUUUGUGUUACGCUGGGAGUAUAGAAAUAGCAGGCGAAGCCACUUUGGAAGAUCUGAAGAUGCAGGCUAUGACUUUACCAUGCCGUCAGGAGCACGUUGUCCCACUGCCCACAUUUCUCAGAGCCUGGACAGUGGAAAGUAAGCACCCAGGCAAGCUUUUACGACACAACAAGCAGCAACUCAAUGAAUAUAAGCUGGGUGCCAGAGUGGCAAUCUGCAUAGAACCUCUGCAAAAAGAAGAAAACUUGGGCCCACAUGAAUUGCUGCUUCGAGUACAGAUGGGCAUACCAGGGGAGAGGGACUACUAUGACUCCAUGGAUUUGGUGUGGGAUAUCUCCAAAGAAUGCACUACCUGGUCACUGAGGCAAAGAGUGGCUUCUCACUAUUGUCUCCCUGUAGAUAAAAUUGAAAUAGCCAAAUACUUCCCUGAAAAAUUUGAGUGGCUGCCAAUAUCUAGCUGGACUCAGCAAAUUUCAAAGAGAAAACGGAAGAAAAAACAGGAGAGUUUACAGUCAGCGCCUUAUCACCUGAAAGAUGGAGAUAUCAUUGGGGUGAAGAAUCUUCUCCUUGAUGACAGUAAGGACUUCAGCACAGUGAGAGAUGAUCUUGGAAAGGAGAAACAAAGACAGCUUGCAUUAGAAAAAAAGAAAAGUCGGCAAGCUGAACGCUUACAGGACCAUGUUUUGUCUGAGGAAAAACUGAGUAUUAAGCAACGUAAACCAGAAGUGGCUCUUUCUAUCAACGUGGGAGUUUUCAGAUAGCACAGGAGAUGCUUUGCUGAUGAGAACCUACUACCGAUGUACUGAAUUGGAGUACCUCAACUGGACCAGCAAGAGGGAUGCUUGUUCUCGAAGCAUCUUCAAGAAUCACCGAGACAAACUGGAUAUAGGAUUCAGGAUAACUGAUUUUCUUCUAAUCUCUCUUGGAAGUGCUUUUGCAUCCCUUUGUCAAUGUGGUACUUAUUCUCAGGCUAGGUAAAUGCACUUUAUUCGUGAGAAAAAUGAAUAAUAUAUUGUAUUACCCUUUUUGACUUUUUAUAAUCACCCUAAAUGCUGUUUUUGUCAGAUGCUGAUGUCUUGCACCAUCACUACGACGUUUGCUUCCUUUUUUAAUGCAGUCAUAAACAUAUCUUUUUAGAAGUUAUUUUUCCAUCUCUGAUCACUAAAGUUACUAGCAAUACCAGAGUUUACUUCUGUCUGUUUAUAUAUAAACCUAAAUCUGUAGUAACUCGAGUCCGAUUUCAGGAAUGAAGGAAAUGUGGAAGUCUCUGGACAAAGGGUAGUAAACUGACUAAGAAAGGAUUAAGUUCAGAAUUUGUCAAGCUCUUAAACCUGAAGACCCUUUCUGAUACAAAACAGUAGUGCAGUAGCCCUACAUUUUAAAGUUGCUGGUGUUUUUUUUAUUGUUCACAAGCUUCGUUAAAAAAUGGAAAAAUUGGGCAGGCCUGUUGUUUGGUCUUGUAUGAGUUUUAGUGUACUCAGGAAAAAGGCUAACAUUUAUUACACUUGAGGAAAAAGAAAAUGUUUCGCUUGAGUCAGAUGGUUGAUUUACAGCCUCCACAACAGAAGGGCAUGUAGGCAGCCCACUAACAGCUGAACUCAGUAUCAAAGGUUCUUAAAUGUUAAGUGGAAUGUUUGCCAAAUGCUUGUAAGAUUGGAUCUCAAGAUUGAGAGUGCCUGUAAUUACCUAAUGAGACCAUAUUUUCUUAGACCUGAAGCUGGGAAUCAGGGUUUACUAAAAGUUGAUGUUUUAGCAUCUUCGGAUAAACUUUUCUAAUGCUUAUAAUACUUAAACUGUGUUCCCCCACUGCACAUGCCUAUUCAUUACCUAAUUUCCCAUCAGGUUCAAAAUUUUCUUUGGCUUAAAUUGUCACUAAUAGUUGUACUCAAACUCUUAAUAGAAUUAACUGUUUAUAAUCAAAUUCUAAGCAUACUAUGAAUGAUAAGGUGAACAUGGAAUAGUGGAAGAUAACACAAGCAUUUCCAUGCAGCAGUAAAAUGCUGAUGGCAUGUAAUGUGUUUGCAUUUUGCUGCUGGGAACCUGUGCAAAUUGGUUAUUGUAUCAAAUGGAGUCUGCUAUUAAACACACUACACAGCCUUGUUGAACUGCACAAAUGUUUGGAUGAGCAAAGCAACUUUUAAAAACAACUGUUCAACAUAGCCUGAAGUAUCCUGAGUGAACAAAAUACAAGUAAUUUUCGGAUGCUACCGUAUUUAAUCCGUUUCGUAUGGAGAUGUAUAGAGAAGAUUUUGUAGAAGAUGCAAGUAUAGCAGACUACCAAAAUUUUGACUAAUGUGAGAACAUUCACUGACUUACCUUUUGUAGAUUAGUAAUAUUCUGGUAUUUUUGACAAUUUCAAGACAAACUGACACUGAACAAAACAAAAGGGAAGAAAAGUAAAACGUACCUCAUUCUGAAGCAUAUGAUUAGUCUUUAAUUCUUUUGAUAGGUUUAAAAUUCAGCAGUUUCUGUGCUUUAUGAUGUUUCAGUCAAGGGGGUAUUUUAAUUUCCUAACUAUUUUGGUCAUAGGUAGGCUUGAAUCUUGAACUCUUGGAAUCCUAGUUUUAUAGAUUAUUUCGUUGCCCUCAACUCAGUCAGAAAAAAUUUCUUUCUAACUCAGCUUGCUGUAUCCAACUUAUUUUGUGAAGCCUUCUUCCCUGUCAGCAAGUCGUCUUGUGAGCCAAGGUUUACCAAAACUAUGGCACAUGCUGAUUAGUAAGGUAAAGGAGAAAGCCUUUUUUUACUUGCAAGUCGUUCCAUUGCGUUACACUUACUGUGCUGUCACUUUAUUUCCUACAGUUCCAUGCUGGACAGCUGUAUUGGGCUUAACCUUGCCAACUACUUCUUAAUAACUCUAGUCUCUUCCUGAAAAUAAAGUAUGUUUCAGAGCUUACACUAACUAGGAGUUGGAACAACGUGUGUGCACAGAUGUAUUAAUCUGAUCUAUUUUUAAAGAGAAGUAGCAUAAAUCAUCCAGAGGACAGUGGAUCUGCACAGAAACUCACUCCACUCCAGUGUGCUGAAGUGAUCACAGAACAGGAGGAAGUGGACAGUUUAAAAAGCCAUCUCAUUCUCUCUUUAAUUCUCCCUCAGAAGCUGCUGAACAGAGCCAUGGAGUUGUUAAAGGUAUUACAGGUACAAGGAAGACAAAGGGUAGCACGGGGGUGUGUAGCUGGGACAGGUGAGUGAUGGCCAAGGGAGGCUGUAGUUGGAGGAAGCUGCUCAAUUCUGGGACUUGCUGGCUGGUUUUGCUGUUUGCCCAGCAAAGCAAACAAACUAAUAAAAAAAAAUCCCAGCAAGGGGUUCUGGGAGUGCCCUCUAGUGUGGUUAGUUGGAGUUUGGGGAUUUUACCAGCACUUCUUUUUAAUUACAGGCAAAUUCCAUCUUCAGCCCUUGCCAUAUCCAAGGCCUCUCUACAAGAUGAGUAAUAGUAUCAAGCUGAGUUUGCAAGCAAGCUUAGAGAAACCAAAACGAGGGAGCUCCCAGCCCUGGAGCCAGUAUCUAGAAAGCUAACAACUAAAUUAUUUUUUGACUGACUGACGCUUGGUAGCACAGCACUGUAUGCAGACAUGCAGAAGACACAGUAAUCACAAAGAUCCCUGGGAAGAUGUGGUACAGCCAGGGAGAAACACUUCAAAACCAACCAAACAAAAAAAAAGCCCACCACCACCAAUGAACACCUGGCUGUUGGCCAUCACACCUGCUUCAUGAGUGGACCGGAUCGAAACAACUUCAGUGGUUCAGAUUAUGAAGCAGAACAGCAGUGCACUGAAGUCUGCAAAUGCCUUUAACCAAAGCAGGAGCUGUGCUGGUGUUGUGCAAACCUUGUUGUACGUUCCCAGAGAAGCAGAAAACCAGAGUUUCAAAUACAGCUUCAAAGCUGUGCAAAAAAGUUUGGAGGACUUGGUUCUAGUAAAGUAAAAUGCAGAAGACAUUUAGUCCUUGGGACACUGAAAUGCUGGUGUAUGAAGACAUUUCCUUCUCAGUGACAGAACACAUCA
Molecule: RNA transcript, 7110 nt
Organism: Cygnus atratus (black swan)
Lineage: Eukaryota; Metazoa; Chordata; Aves; Anseriformes; Anatidae
Gene: USP40
Gene name: ubiquitin specific peptidase 40
Exons: 38
Source: RefSeq, a predicted model, not a curated record